AUGAAAAAAGGGUACAAAAAUAGUGAAAUGUCCCUUUUAGACGAGCCCAUUAUUAGCCCUACAACUUGUGUACCUUGGGUGAAUCAGGAUUCACGAGGCUUGACCAUUAGAGUUUUUAUCUAUAAAGCAAAGAGCUCUAUAUCCCACAUGCAUUGUGCAUUCACACCACUGCAUCCUGGAUCUACUUAUUCUUCUUUUCUCCUACGAUCCUAUUUAGAGCAUUUACCUUUUAGGUUUAAUACAAGGCAUUUGUGUGGUCCAGGAUUGUAUCACAGGAGAACUAUAAAUAGUAGUCUGUCAAGACAAUCUCAUAGUUUUUGUUUUGUAAGAUUUUGUGAGCCAUUUUGCUAUUUAGAGCCAUCACAGCUCUGUCAAUUAAUUUUGUUCUGCUCAAAUGUGAAACUGCACAUAUUUAAAAAUGUAUCCAACAUGAGACACUGGAUAUUAAGACCAUCAUGUGUUGUUACUUAUUCUUUAUGA
Molecule: ribosomal RNA, 480 nt
Filed under: Triticum aestivum (bread wheat)
Lineage: Eukaryota; Viridiplantae; Streptophyta; Magnoliopsida; Poales; Poaceae
Description: partial small subunit ribosomal RNA
Source: RNAcentral